This is a non-coding RNA of Agrilus planipennis (emerald ash borer), 190 nucleotides long. Lineage: Eukaryota; Metazoa; Arthropoda; Insecta; Coleoptera; Buprestidae. The record is from Rfam.
ACAAGGUCCAUUUAAAUAUAUGGAUAUCUACUUUCGAUUAUGGCUAAAGAGGACCUUAAUUGGUCCUAGAACGGCCUGAGGUAGAGGGGUUUUAGUCGGUAGGUCCGAGGACUUCUUCCUCGGGAAUCCGACACUACCCAGUUGUACGGACGGCUGGGUGUCUUUUGAAGAUUUCCCCUCUUCCACGAAA